This 28-nucleotide small RNA is filed under the name Bombyx mori (domestic silkworm). Its description in RNAcentral is "piRNA piR-bmo-1695206". The record is from RNAcentral. Lineage: Eukaryota; Metazoa; Arthropoda; Insecta; Lepidoptera; Bombycidae.
UCAUGCUAAAUGUAGGUGGUUCGUAGGU